CCUACGGGCGGCAGCAGUGGGGAAUAUUGCACAAUGGGGGGAACCCUGAUGCAGCGACGCCGCGUGAGUGAAGAAGUAUUUCGGUAUGUAAAGCUCUAUCAGCAGGGAAGAAAAUGACGGUUCCUGACUAAGAAGCCCCGGCUAACUACGUGCCAGCAGCCGCGGUAAUACGUAGGGGGCAAGCGGUAUACGGAUUUACUGGUCGUAAAGGGAGCGUAGACGGUUAUGCAAGUCUGAAGUGAAAGCCCAGGGCUCAACCAUGGGACUGCAUUGGAAACUGUAAAACUGGAGUGCAGGAGGGGGAAGCGGAAUUCCAAGUGUAGCGGUGAAAUGCGUAGAUAUGAGGAGGAACACCAGUGGCGAAGGCGGCUUCCUGGAAUGGAACUGACGUUGAGGCUCGAAGGCGUGGGGAGCAAACAGGAUUAGAUACCCGGGUAGUC
RNAcentral lists this ribosomal RNA (440 nucleotides) under uncultured bacterium. RNAcentral's name for it is "partial 16S ribosomal RNA". It matches the Rfam family "Bacterial small subunit ribosomal RNA", at positions 338 to 795 of the family's 1533-position model. The record is from RNAcentral.